ACCAAGUGAUGCUCUUGAAAGGAGUGAAAGAAGAGGAUGUGGUAAAUUGUCUUCAGAGAAAAAGCUUCUCAAAAGAUCUUAAAACAGCUUGAAGAAUGGUCUGGGAUCUUAGGACUGGGAGAUCUCACUUGCACCCAGUUAACCUCCAUAGAGAACAUUUAUCAGAAGCGCUGUCUGGGUAGGGCAAGAAACAUCAUCAAGGAUGCCUCUCACCUUAACCAUGGACUUUUCACCCUCCUUCCAUCCGGCAGGCGUUACAGGAGCCUACGCUCUCGAACUAGUACCUGCUCUUUUACUGCACUGGUCACAGUACUUUACAUACAUGUAUUGCACUACUCAUAUUUUGCACAGACUGCACAUGGUUAAAUCCAUUACACUAUAAACUGUCUAAAGCUGUUACUGUACAAGCACAGUAAACUAUUUCUACAAUAAAUAUAAUUGCACUACUAUUAUUUUGCAUAUAAUAAAUUGUUAAACUAUACUUUUGCACACUCAUUCAACUGUAUUUAUUACCACUGUUCUCAAGUUCCUGCUAUUCAUAAUGUAUAUAUAAUUCUUCUUUGCUCUGUUCAUAAUGUACAUACAAUCCCUACAUUAAAUUCAUAUUUAUAUUCUGUAUAUACUCUGGUCAAUAUUGUAUAUAGCAACUCCACUGUAAAUUCUGUAUAUCAUAGCUUUACUUACUCUGCACUUUUAUGUAUAUAAAACACUGUAUUCUUGCACUUCUGGUUAGAUGCUAACUGCAUUUCAUUAGCUCUGUACUUGUACUCUGCAUAAUGACAAUAAAGUUGAAUCUAAUCUAAUCUAAUCUAAUCUAAUCUUCUGGCUGAGAACAAGCUACACCACAUCAGUGCUGGAUAUCAACCAAAAGCUGUUUCCAGACACGAGAGAAGAUCACGAUGAAACCAGUUUAGAUGUGUUGAUAAGGAAUCAUUAUUUUCUGAAACAGUAUCAAAUGUCUUAUAUGUAUCACAUGAUCUGUAUCACAGUUGACUGGAUGGGACUGUGACUUUUAAGGACAUUUCAUCACUCAUCUGUGUGAACUGAUUAAUAUAUGAGGUUAAUGUAUUUUUGAUUAUGAAUAAUUAUUUUCCUUGAAUCUUAUUUGUCUUGAUGCUACUUUAUCAUCUUUAUAGUCUAUGCUUCAAUAAAAUGAAUAUGACGAA
Carassius gibelio (silver crucian carp) is the source of this 1166-nucleotide long non-coding RNA. RefSeq lists it as uncharacterized. The record is from RefSeq and is a predicted model, not a curated record. The transcript is spliced from 2 exons. NCBI's taxonomy places the organism in Eukaryota, Metazoa, Chordata, Actinopteri, Cypriniformes, Cyprinidae.